GAUGAACGCUGGCGGCGUGCCUAAUACAUGCAAGUCGAGCGAACAGACGAGGAGCUUGCUCCUCUGACGUUAGCGGCGGACGGGUGAGUAACACGUGGAUAACCUACCUAUAAGACUGGGAUAACUUCGGGAAACCGGAGCUAAUACCGGAUAAUAUAUUGAACCGCAUGGUUCAAUAGUGAAAGACGGAUUUGCUGUAACUUAAGGAGGUAUCCCCGCGGCAUUGGCUGGUUGGUAAGGUAACGGCUUACCAAGGCAACGAUGCGUAGCCGACCUGAGAGGGGGAUCGGCCACAUUGGAACUGAGACACGGUCCAGACUCCUACGGGAGGCAGCAGUAGGGAAUCUUCCGCAAUGGGCGAAAGCCUGACGGAGCAACGCCGCGUGAGUGAUGAAGUUCUUCGGAUCUUAAAACUCUGUUAUUAGGGAAGAACAAAUGGGUAAGUAACUAUGCACGUCUUGACGGUACCUAAUCAGAAAGCCACGGCUAACUACGUG
Molecule: ribosomal RNA, 497 nt
Filed under: uncultured bacterium
Lineage: Bacteria
Description: partial 16S ribosomal RNA
Rfam family: Bacterial small subunit ribosomal RNA
Source: RNAcentral